UGAGUAACCUGCCCUUCGCUCUUGGGAUAACACCGGGAAACCGGUGCUAAUACCGGAUACGACCUACUCGGGCAUCCGAUGUGGGUGGAAAGAUUUAUCGGUGAGGGAUGGACUCGCGGCCUAUCAGCUUGUUGGUGAGGUAAUGGCUCACCAAGGCGACGACGGGUAGCCGGCCUGAGAGGGCGAUCGGCCACACUGGGACUGAGACACGGCCCAGACUCCUACGGGAGGCAG
RNAcentral lists this ribosomal RNA (234 nucleotides) under uncultured bacterium. RNAcentral describes it as "partial 16S ribosomal RNA". It matches the Rfam family "Bacterial small subunit ribosomal RNA", at positions 118 to 351 of the family's 1533-position model. The record is from RNAcentral.